CCCACCCCUUUUCUUGGGAAUGCUUUUGGAUUUAGAUUAUGUGCUUGAUUGUAUUGUGUUGGUUAAGUGAGGAAAGCUUCUGGGUUCUACUCAAAAGGGCUUCCUUUUAACUUUUUGUCACAAUGCUCUAUUUGGUGAAGUGGAACGAUUUAGGUGGACUGAAUGUUUUAAGUUGUGUGUUUGAACUGUAUGUCUUGUUUAGCUGUUCUGGGUUUUCAUUCAUGGUUGUUCCUUCAUUUUUUUUUCUUUUGGCAGCAUAGUACUAUAGAUGAUUUGGUGCAAUAAGAUAAAGUAGAGAUUUUAUGGUUCUGUGAUUUUUUAAAGGGUUUUGAUAAAGGAGGAAUCUUUUGACUUAAUGAAGUGGAUUUUGUGAAAGAUUUUGUGUGAAUAAUUUGGGAUGUGUUUGUUUCUCAUGCCCUUGCUUAAACUGGUUGUUUCUUUCUCUUUUUUCUGUGGGCUUUCUUCAUUUAUGUUGUUUGCAUUACCUGAAUGGAUUCUUUUGUCGGAUUCUUGUUACUGAAAGCAUAAAUGGUUUGUAUUGGUAUCCUCUCCUUGUAGGCUUUGGCAUAUGGAUAGCAUCAGUAGCCUAUCUUCAUUAUCCCUCUAGAAAGCAUAGCUAGACAUAGAUUAUGAAGAGCAUGUUUAGUUUAGUUCUUCUGUCUUUGAAUUAAGUCGAUCAAUGGAAAUGGUUUCCACCGGGGAUUUACUAAAGGUUGAGAAAGAACAAGGGAAAAGUGACAUAAAAGAGAAGUUAGCUGGAUGUUAACAAAACCUUGGAUUGUUUAACGCUGAAUAUCUGAGUGAUAUCACUGUUUGAUCAGAAUGGCCAUCUUAGGGUAAGGAUUGAAAAAUGAGGGGAGGAACAAGGGUUCUGUUGUUUAUGGAAUAGCUUAACAGGAACUUUAAACCAUGAGAUAAAUUUGUCAGAUUGCGUCCAUUUUCAUGAUAUUGCUUCACAAGGCUGUCAUUAGUGGAGUUUUCUUGAAAAGAGUGCCCAAUCUUUAGAUAACAUGUUCAUAAUAAAACUGCCACAUAUUUAUUCUCUUAAUCAAUUCAAAAAAAGAAGUAUCUAUUCUCUAUUUUUUCUCUGGAAUUUGAGGAGUGGGUGGGUGUUAAAAAUCCAAUAGGACUUGUAUUUGAAUAUUGUUUCAGUCUGAACCAGUAAAAUAAGCAUUUUGGCUAGGGUGAAAAUUGGAAAUGAGAUGUGGUUGAUUUUUCCCUCUUUGAGCUUGGUUUGUUCAGAAAUAGAUAAGCAUGAGCUCUAGAUGAGACUGUAAAACUUGUGUUUGUGUAAGGUUCUCUUUCAUGAGAGGAGACAGCUUUUCCAGACAUGUAAUGAUUUGAAAUUGGUCUUUUGCAUCUGAAAUUCAAAAAAGUUGUGAAGGAAAAGCUGGUAGAUAAGCAAUGAUAAUAAAUGAGGUGAAACAACAUCAGCAUACUGGUGUCAUUCUGAAACCAUUUACUUUUUAACAAAACUAUGGGUGUUUUACCUCUUAAAAUUGCUGUGCACUUGUGGGGAAGGUCCACAUCUGAGUGUAGGGUGGAACAGUAGAACCACAUUCAUGUAUUAGAGGAUGGCAAGUGGCUUUACGAAGUUUUAUUUUUAUUUUAGGUUAAAGGCCCCAAUUUUCCCUUUAAAUUAUAACUCAGAUAGUUAAAUAGAUCUCUUAUUUUUAUUUACCUGUAAUUGAGCCGUUUAAUUUUUAAUUUCAGCCUAAUAAAUUUAAAAUUAAUAGUAUUAAUAAGUAGUGUUAAAAAAAUAAUAAAGUUGGUUAUUAACAAAUAAAUAUUAGUAUUUUUAUAUUUUGAAUAAUUAAAAAAUAUUUUUAAAAAUUAAAAUUUUUUAAUCAUUUAAAAAAUAGAUAAAAGGAAGAACCGAAACCGAAAACCCGUGUCUACUUUUUUUUUUUUCUCACCUUCCCCUUCCCUUGCUGAAAUCAGCAUUCUCUUUUACAUGCAUAUAUUAUAUGCACCCAUGGAAAAUUUUAUUUUGUUUUAGUUGUUGGCCCCUCAAAAUAAUUUUUACUUUUUUAUUACAAUAUAAGUAAUGUGAAAUAUUAUAAUCCUUUAUUUCUUGUCAUAUGUUCAAUAAAUUUUUAUAACAUUGACACCCUCAAAAAAAUAAUUCUAGUUUAAUUAUACUCUAUUUGUCACUUUUUUAAAUAUAUAAUAUUAGUCCCUUCAAAAUAUAUAAACAAUGAAUAUAAUUAAUUAUUUUUUAAAAUUAAUUUUAUAUAUAAUAUUAGCUUCCUCAAAAAAAAAAAAUUUCUGGCUCGG
Molecule: unclassified non-coding RNA, 2277 nt
Filed under: Hevea brasiliensis (rubber tree)
Lineage: Eukaryota; Viridiplantae; Streptophyta; Magnoliopsida; Malpighiales; Euphorbiaceae
Source: RNAcentral